AGCCCUGUAGUGAAGUUCACGUCAAAUUGCAAAUUUGAAGAUCCACUUUUGAUAUGUGUCUGGGUUU
Molecule: transfer RNA, 67 nt
Filed under: Carettochelys insculpta (pitted-shelled turtle)
Lineage: Eukaryota; Metazoa; Chordata; Testudines; Carettochelyidae
Description: tRNA-Cys
Source: RNAcentral